This 578-nucleotide unclassified non-coding RNA is filed under the name Hevea brasiliensis (rubber tree). The record is from RNAcentral. Lineage: Eukaryota; Viridiplantae; Streptophyta; Magnoliopsida; Malpighiales; Euphorbiaceae.
CUCGGCCUAGCCGUCUCUCUUCUUCACCGCCUGGUAAAUCCCAUAACAAACAGUUAACACGUUUAACAGCAAACGCUCAUGGCCUCCCAGUCACGAAAAGGCGGAGUGUCACUGCCGGCAAGGCGAGGCUCAAAGCCGAAAUCAGAGCCCACUAUCCUUGCCAAGCUCACUAACUCUGAAAUCGUGUCUAAAGGCAAGCGAGCUACAUGCGACGCUGUUUUCGUUACUAAGAAGCUCCUACGCAGCACCGGCAAGGCUGCGUGGAUCGCCGGUACCACCUUCUUAAUCCUGGUGGUGCCUCUUAUCGUUGAGAUGGACCGCGAGCAGCAGUUGAACGAGCUCGAGAUCCAGCAGCAAAGCCUCCUCGGAGCCCCGCCUGUUGGGGCACCCCAAAAGUGAAUGAAAAAUGGAUCGAGUCAGGUCAGGAAUACUCUUUUUGUCGAUGUUUAAUGAAUCCUCUUUAUGUGAUAUGUAGUGUCUCUUGGCGAUUGGGAUUUUGAGAUACAAUAAUUAUUUUUGUCAUUUUAAUCCCUUUUUAACUUUUAAGUUUUGCUCUCAAUGGUUAAACUGGAUUUCAG